Molecule: transfer RNA, 77 nt
Filed under: Sphingomonas bacterium
Lineage: Bacteria; Pseudomonadati; Pseudomonadota; Alphaproteobacteria; Sphingomonadales; Sphingomonadaceae
Description: tRNA-Met
Rfam family: tRNA
About the family: Transfer RNA (tRNA) molecules are approximately 80 nucleotides in length.
Source: RNAcentral
CGCGGGAUGGAGCAGCCCGGUAGCUCGUCAGGCUCAUAAGCUGAAGGUUGCAGGUUCCAAUCCUACUCCCGCAACCA